AGGUCUAACUCUAAAAUUGUUCGGCCAUGUUGCAAAGAUAGUCGAAGAAAAACCACAGUUCUACGAAAGGAAAUACUAAAUUUGAGGGACGAAUAGGUCAAAUUUGAUUGCCCCAUCAUGCUAAAGUCACAUGAUUGGUCACAUGUUCAAUGCAUAUCACCAAGUUUGGUCUCAGUCUCCUAUUGGCUUUUAUCCACAGCAUCAUUUCUUACUUGAAUUGUUCUGACAUGCUCUGCAAACAUAUGUUAUGUGACCUUAACAGUGAGAGCUGCUAUGGUUCAUCUGGUAUUAGAGUUGCUUUUGCUAAGAGGGAUUUGACCAACCAUGUUCCAUUAGACCCAGCAUAAUAAUAAGUACAGUCAUAUAGUCCUCUGCAAAAAAUGUUGUGAUUAUAUAAGAUCCAUGAACAAUUCUACAUAAAAAAUUCUGUGCCUUCCCGAAUCAUAUCUACAUUGUUUGGCCACCUACCACUUCAUGUCUUGAAACCUGCCUUGCUAAACUUCAUCACCAUUCCAGAGGCAUUGUUUGAAGAUGUCUGCCUUAAAUGAUCACAGAAACUGACCUGAAAUACUCCAUUACCAAGAAUCUGAAAACCUGUGAUCCAGCUGUAACUGUAUAUGCAACUAGUCUGAUUAUGUUAGCACUCCUUUAAAGAACGAGUUUGGCCUUCAAGGCACAGCCCCUUUCUUAAAUAUCCCGCAGGGUAACCAUGUGUUGGUUAAAGGGCUUGACGACCCCUCGGCACCCGAGUCAAAUGGCAGACGGGUAGGGACCGUCUGUCAAGAAACCAAGAUUUUACAUGACAUAGACGAAUAUACAACGACAUUAUGGCGUGGUAAAACAUGCUUAUAACGGCAUAUACUUUUCUUGAAAAGGGGAUUCCUUUGUGCACUGUUUCCCCCAGAAGAAUCUGGUGGGCAAAAGCAGAGGGUCGCAAUAGGUAAUUCUACCGAAAACGACAAUAACAAGGACAUAACUUAGACAACAGUGCUGUGCCUGUGGAUGUAAAGUAUACAUUUCAGGAGUACAAAACAACAGCACGAUGAAAUGAGAAAGCAAUACACGAUUUACAUUGUUUACUACUUUACUUCAAGUUGAUUAAGCAAUGCAUUCAACAACUAUGACUGAUAUACAAAGACGGAAACCAAAUCGACCAACUGAAUUAGUUGAAAUUUCGAAAAAAAAGUCGUGGCCCAAACUUUAGCCAAAGGCAAAAAAAACAAGAACUUCACAACGAACAAACGAAAACAACUUUAGUAAAGGGGAAGUAGGUAACUCACGAACGGCGGCAGAAAGCGUUCUGCUUUGUAAACAACGAUUGGGAUAUACUUGAAAAAGCAAGAAAAUUACCGCAGUGGUUGGUGCGAGGCAUCUCCGAAGAAGCGAUAGAGAUGUUAAGAUGACAGUUUAUAUACCGAUUGUUGAUUAUAGAAGAUUUGAUGAAUUAACAUAGCUAUGCAGCAAAAAGGUUGAUACAUUAGUCAAGUUUAUUUUACAAACUGGAAACUACUUGAGCAAGUUAAAUUGUGAAUUACAUCGACUGUAACCGACGUAUAAUUGGCCACUGAAUUUGUCGAUUCAUGAUGGCAUUCCCGGCAUUUUGUUGCCAGAAUUUGGUAGCAUUCAAACAUUGUAAACCUAACAAAACAACGAACGAACAAACGACAAUUCCUUGCAGAAGAUCGGCAAUGAAAGUAUUUCACGCGGAUUAUAUUCCGUGUUGCUAGGGGACAGAAGUUAGAAAUGGUACAACAUGGUGGAGAAACGAGCAUUUGUUAGAACAGCGACGCAGUAAAAUGACGAAAAUGAUGAUGAUGAAGAAUGAUGAUGAUGAAUGAUGAUAAACAAAAAGAAAUUAUUUUAAAGAAGCGUUAUUCCGCUUCAAAUAUAAACGACUCACAUCCAUUUAUUUGGAAAACUAUAAACACAACACGACGUACAACGACUGUUUAAACUCGGUUCCAGCGUGCGUUUGGAUUGUCAAAACGGCCCCAGAAAUUUUACGUCUUGCCUUGCAGCAAGCAGAUUCGAUGUUUUCUUUGCGAUGAAUGUCAGAGCAUGCAUUGCACUGGGAUAUGAAGACAUAAAUCCAAAUGCAGCUUGAAACGGAGGGCAAGAAAAAGAAAACGAAAGAGAAGAAGAUGCAAAAGAAGAACAACUUAGAUAUGAAGAAUAUAUUUUUCUUUGUUUUGAUGUUUAAACCGGCGUGUUUCUUUUUAAGUGCAUUUAAAACUCCACAAAUUGAUGCCAAUGAAAUGCAGUUCAGUUUAUUCUACAUAACUCGCUGUUUGAUCAUCUAAAGCAAAGGAGAAUGAAUUAAAUUAAACGACACUGACAUUGACAUUGACUUUAAACAAUAGACUAAAUGCAGUCGCUGGUGCAUGUAUUUAAAUCAGGCCGAAUGUAGAGAGCGGGCAGAGUACGAACUUCGGAGAAAGAUUGUUGAUUUUCUACAAGGAACGUGCAAUCUUAACGAUUGCAUUAAAAUUGAAUAUAUCGACUUA
Molecule: long non-coding RNA, 2504 nt
Filed under: Dendronephthya gigantea
Lineage: Eukaryota; Metazoa; Cnidaria; Anthozoa; Malacalcyonacea; Nephtheidae
Description: uncharacterized LOC114515924
Source: RNAcentral